AGAGAGAGAGACGUGAGAGAGGAGGGAAUGUGAGGAGAAGGCGCACCUGCGUACACACGUGCAGUGGUGGCGGCGGUUCGUGGAGCGCUCGCGUGGUGCUCUAGGCCGAGCGAACGCUAGGGUUGCCUCAAGCGUGUCCUGGCUGGUUGGGCCGGCUGAUGCGCUAGCCUAGCGAGCAGUUUUUUUAAAUUUGUUUUUUUCUUUUACAAAAAAAUGACAAAA
This 222-nucleotide long non-coding RNA is filed under the name Hordeum vulgare. Its description in RNAcentral is "long non-coding RNA (HVUL_LNC001725)". Lineage: Eukaryota; Viridiplantae; Streptophyta; Magnoliopsida; Poales; Poaceae. The record is from RNAcentral.